Molecule: ribosomal RNA, 253 nt
Filed under: uncultured bacterium
Lineage: Bacteria
Description: partial 16S ribosomal RNA
Rfam family: Bacterial small subunit ribosomal RNA
Source: RNAcentral
UACGUAGGUGACCAGCGUUGUCCGGAUUUACUGGGCGUAAAGAGCGCGCAGGCGGUCGUUCAAGUCGAGUGUGAAAGCCCCCGGCUCAACCGGGGAGGGUCACUCGAUACUGAUCGACUGGAAGGCAGGAGAGGGAAGCGGAAUUCCCGGUGUAGUGGUGAAAUGCGUAGAUAUCGGGAGGAACACCAGUGGCGAAGGCGGCUUCCUGGCCUGUUCUUGACGCUGAGGCGCGAAAGCUAGGGGAGCAAACGGG